UCCUACGGGACGCAGCAGUGAGGAAUAUUGGUCAAUGGGCGGGAGCCUGAACCAGCCAAGCCGCGUGAGAGAAGAAGGUACAGCGUAUCGUAAACCUCUUUUGUCAGGGAACAAAGGCGGGGACUAGUCCCCGGAUGAGGGUACCUGAAGAAAAAGCAUCGGCUAACUCCGUGCCAGCAGCCGCGGUAAUACGGAGGAUGCGAGCGUUAUCCGGAUUUAUUGGGUUUAAAGGGUGCGCAGGCGGUCUGUUAAGUCAGCGGUCAAAGCCCGGGGCUCAACCCCGGCCCGCCGUUGAAACUGGCAGG
This 305-nucleotide ribosomal RNA is filed under the name uncultured bacterium. RNAcentral describes it as "bacterial SSU rRNA". It matches the Rfam family "Bacterial small subunit ribosomal RNA", at positions 337 to 640 of the family's 1533-position model. The record is from RNAcentral.